Molecule: ribosomal RNA, 497 nt
Filed under: uncultured bacterium
Lineage: Bacteria
Description: partial 16S ribosomal RNA
Rfam family: Bacterial small subunit ribosomal RNA
Source: RNAcentral
GAUGAACGCUGGCGGCGUGCCUAAUACAUGCAAGUCGAGCGAACAGACGAGGAGCUUGCUCCUCUGACGUUAGCGGCGGACGGGUGAGUAACACGUGGAUAACCUACCUAUAAGACUGGGAUAACUUCGGGAAACCGGAGCUAAUACCGGAUAAUAUAUUGAACCGCAUGGUUCAAUAGUGAAAGACGGUUUUGCUGUCACUUAUAGAUGGAUCCGCGCCGCAUUAGCUAGUUGGUAAGGUAACGGCUUACCAAGGCAACGAUGCGUAGCCGACCUGAGAGGGUGAUCGGCAACACUGGAACUGGGACACGGUCCAGACUCCUACGGGAGGCAGCAGUAGGGAAUCUUCCGCAAUGGGCGAAAGCCUGACGGAGCAACGCCGCGUGAGUGAUGAAGGUCUUCGGAUCGUAAAACUCUGUCAUUAGGGAAGAACAAAUGUGUAAGUAACUAUGCACGUCUUGACGGUACCUAAUCAGAAAGCCACGGCUAACUACGUG